GACGAACGCUGGCGGCGUGCUUAACACAUGCAAGUCGAACGGAAAGGCCCCUUUGGGGGUACUCGAGUGGCGAACGGGUGAGUAACACGUGAGUAACCUGCCCUUGACUUCGGGAUAACUUCAGGAAACUGGGGCUAAUACCGGAUAGGAAUCCUUGCUGCAUGGUGGGGGUUGGAAAGCUUCGGCGGUUUUGGAUGGACUCGCGGCUUAUCAGCUUGUUGGUGGGGUAGUGGCUUACCAAGGCUUUGACGGGUAGCCGGCCUGAGAGGGCGACCGGCCACAUUGGGACUGAGAUACGGACCAGACUCCUACGGGAGGCAGCAGUGGGGAAUAUUGCACAAUGGGCGGAAGCCUGAUGCAGCAACGCCGCGUGCGGGAUGACGGCCUUCGGGUUGUAAACCGCUUUCAGCAGGGGCGAAGCUUUUGUGACGGUACCUGCAGAAGAAGCACCGGCUAACUACGUG
This 464-nucleotide ribosomal RNA is filed under the name uncultured bacterium. RNAcentral's name for it is "partial 16S ribosomal RNA". It matches the Rfam family "Bacterial small subunit ribosomal RNA", at positions 28 to 507 of the family's 1533-position model. The record is from RNAcentral.